Molecule: unclassified non-coding RNA, 165 nt
Filed under: Leuconostoc suionicum
Lineage: Bacteria; Bacillati; Bacillota; Bacilli; Lactobacillales; Lactobacillaceae
Description: T-box
Source: RNAcentral
UAAAAGACGAAGAUAAGUAAAGAUGUUUUGUAGCUAUGAUUAAGCGAGCUUGAGUUGAUGGAAGUCAGGCCAUAGUAAAAACGGCGCGUACUAAGAGUCCAAAGUUAAUAAAUUUGAGUGGCGAAAGCUAUUAGAGUGGUACCGCGGGCUAGGCUCGUCUCUUUG